Elaeis guineensis (African oil palm) is the source of this 2869-nucleotide RNA transcript. It is a transcript of the gene named lysine-specific demethylase JMJ32, with no coding region annotated. The record is from RefSeq and is a predicted model, not a curated record. NCBI's taxonomy places the organism in Eukaryota, Viridiplantae, Streptophyta, Magnoliopsida, Arecales, Arecaceae.
UGGGACGAGGAGGUAGCAAUGCCCAACAGGUGAAGUGCGGUAGAUUUUCUCGUGAAACAGGUUCUCUAAACGACCAAAACACACGAUUAUGGCGGUCGCAACCAGCAACGCGCUUUUGUGACCCCAAAUGGGCUCGUUGCUACUUCAUGCAUCUCUCUAUAUUAUAUACGUAGGGUUUGGUAGGGUUCUUUUCUUUGUUUUUUAGCAAGGAUUUGAUCGAGGACAAGCGCUUGAGGCGGGUUACGUCUAAGAGAGACUAAAGGUGGGUAGCGUGGCGAAGCGGAAUGGAGGAGGAGAGGAGGCUGAGGGGCCUGUGGGGGGAGGCAAGAGAGCUGAGCCUCGGCACCUCCGGCCAGGUGGACUGCCUCGACGCGCCCCCAUCCCCUCUCCGCUUCCUCCGAGACUACGUCUCCGCCAACAAGCCCUGCCUCGUCUCCCGAGCUGCCACCCGCGGCUGGCCCGCCAUCUCUCUCUGGUCCGACGACGCCUACCUCCGCCGCGUCCUCCACGGCUGUGCCGUCUCCGUCCACCUCACCCCCCACGGCCGCGCCGACUCCCUCGUCCCCCGCCCUUCCGCCUGCGGCCGCCCACGCGGCCUCUGCUUCGCCUCCGCCGCCGUCCGCUCGAUGGAUUUCUCCGACGCCCUCGCGCUGAUCGCCGCCACCGGCUCGCCGUCGUCGCCGACCGUGGCAUACGCCCAGCAGCAGAACGACUGCUUCCGGGAGGAGUACUCGGCACUGGCGGGGGACGUGGAGCCGGACGUCCCAUGGGCCACCGAGGCGCUCGGCUGCCUCCCGGAAGCCGUGAACCUCUGGAUCGGGAACGGUCGGUCGGAGACAUCGUUCCACAAGGACCACUAUGAGAACCUCUACGCCGUAAUCACCGGGGAGAAGCACUUCCUCCUGCUGCCCCCAACAGACGUCCACCGCCUCUACAUCCGCCAUUACCCGGCUGCCCGCUACGUGCUCGACGAUGGGAAAGACGCCACGGGGGAGUUGCACUUGGAAUUGGAAGAGCCGGAGAGGCAGGUGCCGUGGUGCAGCGUGGAUCCGUACCCGGAGACGCCCGAGUCAAUGGCGGAGCAGAGGGAGGCCUUCCCCCUCUACUUCGACGGCCCCAAGCCUUUCGAAUGCAUCGUCAAGGCUGGGGAGAUCCUCUACCUGCCUAGCAUGUGGUUUCAUCAUGUGAGGCAAACACCCGACCGCAAUGGGCGCACCAUUGCUGUCAACUACUGGUACGACAUGCAAUUUGAUAUCAAAUACGCGUACUUCAACUUCUUGCAAUCCAUCGACUGCACCCCUCCUGCUGGAAAGCCUUCAGCGGAGGUCUGUAAUCGUGAUGCGUCCGACCAUUCGGAUGAUGCUGAACCUGAAAUCUAUGAGACUAGUUUGGUGUCGCACUCAGGGUAGGACAGGUUCGCUGUUGCCAAUGAUUGAUGUAUUCUGCCCUGUUGGGGAACAAUUUACUCAGCCUCCGUUAGUAGUGAUUUCUGUUCGCAGAAAAGCUCUGCAGUGACUGGGGCCAUUGACGGGUUUUCCUCAUCAGAGCUGGCUCUUUUUACAUCUCAGCCUAUAUAUAUUUUACCAGUGGGUGCUUAAAUCAGCACCCAGAGAUUGUUAUUGCAGAGGCUAGAACUAGAGUUGCUUUGCAGGAAAAGAGAGUAUCGACUGUACAGGCAUCAGCAUUAACAGCCCCAAGCAUAGAAAGUGCGCACCAUAGAAACAGACCAAACAUUUCCUCCAGCAAUUAUUCAAUUAGUUGUUUGAAGUAGUUUCCAAGCAUGCAAAUGUUUGAAUAGAUGAUCCUGAAUCUGAGCUUUCUUUGGGGGGAAGAGUGCAUCAUCAUGUGGUAUCUGAAUUCAAAUAUCUGGAAGCAAUGAGAUGCGCGAACCAAACCAAAUGUUGUGGGGGCGGGGGCAGUACGAGUUGAUUGGAUUUUGCAUUCAGUCUGGUCGUUCUCAGAAGCAGCAGAAUAUUUUAUGACAGAUUUUUUUCUCUCCCUUUUUCAGUGCAUCAGAUGGCACUGGACCUAUUACCUCAACAUUACGAGAAUUACUACCUUCAGAAUUUCUAUAUUUGCAUUUAACGAAGCCUUGCAGCUUGAAGUGGAGGGAGCUAUAAUACUCUGUGGUUAAGUUUUGCUUUUGUGGCUCGUACGUGCAGGACCUGAUGGGUCAUGUUCUGGGAAACCUUAAAAAGCCAAGAGGUGGAACGAAUUUCCCCGGAAAAUUGCAACAGGAGGCAAACGAGACGAGAUCAUGAGGUGCAUCGAUCGAUCUGAGAUAUGUUUGAGAUGAUAAGUAAUGUUGGAGGGUAAUACGUUUACUAUGAGCUAAUGGAAGUGGGGAUCUUGGAUUCUAACCGAUAUAAUGUAUCCUGAGCACUGUUUGAACUUCAUUGAUGACCGAUCUGGAAGCUCACCGACUGAGCAUUCCAAAGGAACGCCUAUGAGAGGAAAAGACAGAUGAUACUAAGGUUAUUGGAGGCUGGUAUUCCACCAUCGCAGGAGCUUGACUUCGCCAACUACUUGGAGGAAUCGAUCCUUCUAGAAGUUCGGCAUCAUCCUGUCUGUUUCGGUCUCCGCAGCAAGCACAUCACCAGGAGAUACGAAUCCUUGGUUGCCUACUUCGAAGAAAGAUUAAGCAUCAAACAAAUGAUCUCCGUCUGAAGCUCGGACUGAGGAAUACCAAACGAUUUCCUAUGUGGUCCAGCUGGGCUCCAUUGUCCAGCCCCGUCAUUCCAUCUAUCAGUCAUAUCACCAUCCAUUCCACAAUUGUGCAUCGAGAGAAUUUAUGACCACUGUCAGAGAUCUUUAAAACAUCUCACAUAGUCCCGUGUGAUGAGAUAUGAUCAUAAUGGUCCCUUGUCCU